ACGAACGCUGGCGGCAUGCCUAACACAUGCCAGUCGAACGAGACCUUCGGGUCUAGUGGCGCACGGGUGCGUAACGCGUGGGAACCUGCCCUUAGGUUCGGAAUAACUCCCCGAAAGGGGUGCUAACACCGGAUAAUGUCUUCGGACCAAAGAUUUAUCGCCUUUGGAUGGGCCCGCGUUGGAUUAGCUAGUUGGUAGGGUAAAAGCCUACCAAGGCGACGAUCCAUAGCUGGUCUGAGAGGAUGAUCAGCCACACUGGGACUGAGACACGGCCCAGACUCCUACGGGAGGCAGCAGUGGGGAAUAUUGGACAAUGGGCGAAAGCCUGAUCCAGCAAUGCCGCGUGAGUGAUGAAGGCCUUAGGGUUGUAAAGCUCUUUUACCCGGGAUGAUAAUGACAGUACCGGGAGAAUAAGCGCCGGCUAACUCCGUG
This 432-nucleotide ribosomal RNA is filed under the name uncultured bacterium. Its description in RNAcentral is "partial 16S ribosomal RNA". It matches the Rfam family "Bacterial small subunit ribosomal RNA", at positions 29 to 507 of the family's 1533-position model. The record is from RNAcentral.